RNAcentral lists this long non-coding RNA (1048 nucleotides) under Prunus persica (peach). RNAcentral describes it as "long non-coding RNA (PPER_LNC006471)". Lineage: Eukaryota; Viridiplantae; Streptophyta; Magnoliopsida; Rosales; Rosaceae. The record is from RNAcentral.
AGUUUGUCGGCAACUUCUUCUUACUGCACACUCACGAGAGUUGCACCAAUCUGCCUAUAAAUAGGCAACCUGCAAAGUUAAAAAGAAGAGAAGAUAGAAAAGAAAGGGAGAAACGGAAAGAAAGAAAGAGAAAGGAGGAAAGAGAAGAGGAAAGAGAAAGGAGGAAAGAGAAGAGGAAAGGGAAAGGGGGAAAGGAGGAAAGAGAAGAGGAAAGAGAGUCAGGCAGAGAAGAGGAAGGGAAGGAAGAAAUAGGGUGAGUGAGCAGAGAGAAAAUUCAGUGAGCCUUACAUAUUGUAAACUCUAAAGUUGUAGUUCUAUUAUUUUAUUUAGUGAAAAAGUUACUGCUGCUGCUCUCCGAGGACGUAGGCAUAGCCGAACCUCGUUAAAUGCUGUGUCUCAUCUACUUUACGAGCAGCUCUGAAUUAUCGCACAUAUCCCAGGUUAUUUUUAUAACAUAAUUGACUUAUUGAGAGAGCACUCCCAUUGAUCGUGCUUAGAGCUCCACUCACUUGAAAUCUUAUUGUUUUUUUUUUUUUUUAAUAGUAAAGAUGAACUUUCAUUAAUAAAGACCAAAAAGAGGUCAAAGAAGCACCGAGACUACACAACCAGUCAAACGGCAUUAACAAGAAAAAGAAACCAAAGCGACAAGAAAAGGUAAAACUAAAGAAAAGCUACAAGGGAAAGUAAAAUAAAAGAGGAAAACACAGCACAGCCAACGAACAACAUCACAUAUUUUUUUUACUUGGUAACUGGUUCAGGUUGUGGGCUUCGAGGAAAUUGAUCUUAUAAUAUUCAAGAGUAGGCAAGUGGAUUCCAACAAAAAAAGAGACAAGGCAAGUGGAUUCCAAACAAACAAAAAAAGAGUAGGCAAGUGGAGCAUCUGGAAUUUGAUCUGAAAAAUCCGCGAGCAAUCCUUAUCAAAAAGACUUUUAUGAAAUGAAAGUAGUAUUAUUAAUAAUAUUUUCAGUAUUAUUGGUUAUGAAUAAAAUAAUUAACAAAAUAAUAUUAUCCCCUAUUGCAAGUUGCAAGUGGUCCGAAUGGAAAGUAA